Molecule: non-coding RNA, 137 nt
Filed under: Burkholderia glumae
Lineage: Bacteria; Pseudomonadati; Pseudomonadota; Betaproteobacteria; Burkholderiales; Burkholderiaceae
Also listed under: 1 other name
Description: TPP sequence
Rfam family: TPP riboswitch aptamer (THI element)
About the family: Vitamin B(1) in its active form thiamin pyrophosphate (TPP) is an essential coenzyme that is synthesised by coupling of pyrimidine and thiazole moieties in bacteria. The previously detected thiamin-regulatory element, thi box was extended, resulting in a new, highly conserved RNA secondary structure, the THI element, which is widely distributed in eubacteria and also occurs in some archaea.
Source: RNAcentral
CAGACGAAACAGGGGUGCUUUGCUGCCUGUCGGCGUCCGGUGAACGAUGCAUCGGGAUGCGCGGCGGCAAGGCUGAGAGAAGACCCUUCGCACCCGAUCCGGAUAAUACCGGCGCGGGAAGUUUUCGAUUCCACCGG